GUCAGGAUGGCCGAGCGGUCUAAGGCGCCAGACUCAAGGAUGAUCUCCUUCCAGGAGCGUUGGGUGUUCUGGUCUCCAGAUGGAGGCGUGGGUUCAAAUCCCGCUCCUGACA
This 112-nucleotide transfer RNA is filed under the name Takifugu rubripes (torafugu). It matches the Rfam family "tRNA". From Rfam's summary of the family: Transfer RNA (tRNA) molecules are approximately 80 nucleotides in length. Their secondary structure includes four short double-helical elements and three loops (D, anti-codon, and T loops). Lineage: Eukaryota; Metazoa; Chordata; Actinopteri; Tetraodontiformes; Tetraodontidae. The record is from Rfam by way of RNAcentral.